Molecule: ribosomal RNA, 445 nt
Filed under: uncultured bacterium
Lineage: Bacteria
Description: partial 16S ribosomal RNA
Rfam family: Bacterial small subunit ribosomal RNA
Source: RNAcentral
GUGAGGAAUAUUGGUCAAUGGGCGGGAGCCUGAACCAGCCAAGUCGCGUGAAGGAAGAAGGAUCUAUGGUUCGCAAACUUCUUUUGCAGGGGAAUAAAGUGCGGAACGUGUCCUGUUUUGUAUGUACCCUGAGAAUAAGGAUCGGCUAACUCCGUGCCAGCAGCCGCGGUAAUACGGAGGAUCCGAGCGUUAUCCGGAUUUAUUGGGUUUAAAGGGUGCGUAGGUGGUUUGAUAAGUCAGCGGUGAAAGUUUGCAGCUUAACUGUAAAAAUGCCGUUGAAACUGUCGGACUUGAGUGUAAAUGAGGUAGGCGGAAUGCGUGGUGUAGCGGUGAAAUGCAUAGAUAUCACGCAGAACUCCGAUUGCGAAGGCAGCUUACUAAGCUACAACUGACACUGAAGCACGAAAGCGUGGGGAUCAAACAGGAUUAGAAACCCUAGUAGUCC